CGGCACGUGACCACUGAAGUGUCACUAAAGCCCCUGCCCCCGCUAUUCCACCAAUAUAUCCUUGUUAUUGAUGACCGGCACGUGACCACUGAAGUGUCACUUGUGCUUGUAAAUUUACACUCGGCAACGUUGUUGUGCUUCGCCAAAACUUGGGUCGCCCUGAGCUGCUGAUAGAUAUCUACCUUCGUAGUUGCUCGCUAGCGCGAUCUUGCUUGCUUGCUGUAUACCGUAACCGUUACCCUUCGUUUGCUUGUUGUUCCACGCGGCGUGCCAACACCCUUCGUUAUUUUCAAAGCCGUCCUGUUGGUUUGUC
This 313-nucleotide long non-coding RNA is filed under the name Micromonas commoda. RNAcentral's name for it is "long non-coding RNA (MCOM_LNC000087)". Lineage: Eukaryota; Viridiplantae; Chlorophyta; Mamiellophyceae; Mamiellales; Mamiellaceae. The record is from RNAcentral.